This 497-nucleotide ribosomal RNA is filed under the name uncultured bacterium. Its description in RNAcentral is "partial 16S ribosomal RNA". It matches the Rfam family "Bacterial small subunit ribosomal RNA", at positions 28 to 507 of the family's 1533-position model. The record is from RNAcentral.
GAUGAACGCUGGCGGCGUGCCUAAUACAUGCAAGUCGAGCGAACGGACGAGAAGCUUGCUUCUCUGAUGUUAGCGGCGGACGGGUGAGUAACACGUGGAUAACCUACCUAUAAGACUGGGAUAACUUCGGGAAACCGUAGCUAAUACCGGAUAAUAUUUUGAACCGCAUGGUUCAAAAGUGAAAGACGGUCUUGCUGUCACUUAUAUAUGGAUCCGCGCUGCAUUAGCUAGUUGGUAAGGUAACGGCUUACCAAGGCAACGAUGCAUAGCCGACCUGAGAGGGUGAUCGGCCACACUGGAACUGAGACACGGUCUAGACUCCUACGGGAGGCAGCAGUAGGGAAUCUUCCGCAAUGGGCGAAAGCCUGACGGAGCAACGCCGCGUGAGUGAUGAAGGUCUUCGGAUCGUAAAACUCUGUUAUUAGGGAAGAACAUAUGUGUAAGUAACUGUGCACAUCUUGACGGUACCUAAUCAGAAAGCCACGGCUAACUACGUG